This 521-nucleotide ribosomal RNA is filed under the name uncultured soil bacterium. RNAcentral describes it as "bacterial SSU rRNA". It matches the Rfam family "Bacterial small subunit ribosomal RNA", at positions 26 to 547 of the family's 1533-position model. The record is from RNAcentral.
AGAUUGAACGCUGGCGGCAUGCCUAACACAUGCAAGUCGAACGGGAGUAGCAAUACUCUAGUGGCGGACGGGUGAGGAAUACGUAGGAAUUUGCCCUUAAGUGGGGGAUAACCCGGGGAAACCCGGAUUAAUACCGCAUGACCUCGAAAGAGCAAAGUGGGGGAUCGCAAGGACCUCACGCUUUUGGAGAAGCCUACGUCGGAUUAGCUAGUUGGUGAGGUAAUGGCUCACCAAGGCGACGAUCCGUAACUGGUCUGAGAGGAUGAUCAGUCACACCGGAACUGAGACACCGGUCCGGACUCCUACGGGAGGCAGCAGUGGGGAAUAUUGGACAAUGGGCGCAAGCCUGAUCCAGCAAUCGCCGCGUGUGUGAAGAAGGCCUUGGUUGUAAGCUACUUUAAGUAGGAAGAAAAACUACGACGUACUAACACAGUGAGUCUGACGUACGACAGAAUAAGACACCGGCUAACGUCUGUCGACCAGCGACGCCGUACGUAACGUCGUGACGGCGGCGUGGACCG